AGUGAACGCUGGCGGCAGGCCUAACACAUGCAAGUCGAGCGGCAGCGCGGUGGCAACCCUGUCUUCGAGCGGCGGACGGGUGAGGAAUUCGUCGGAAUCUGCCUUUUUGUGUUGGCUAACGUAGUGACACUUACGCUAAUACCGCAUCCGUCCUACGGGCGAACGUGGGGGACCGCAAGGCCUCACGCCGAUAGAUGAGCCGACGACCGAUUAGCUAGUUGGUGGGGUAAAGGCCCACCAAGGCGACGAUCGGUAGCUGGUCUGAGAGGAUGAUCAGCCACACUGGGACUGAGACACGGCCCAGACUCCUACGGGAGGCAGCAGUGGGGAAUAUUGGACAAUGGGCGCAAGCCUGAUCCAGCCAUGCCGCGUGUGUGAAGAAGGCCUUCGGGUUGUAAAGCACGUUUGUCCGGAAAGAAAUCCCUGGAGCUAAUACCUUCGGGGGAUGACGGUACCGGAAGAAUAAGCACCGGCUAACUUCGUG
RNAcentral lists this ribosomal RNA (484 nucleotides) under uncultured bacterium. RNAcentral describes it as "partial 16S ribosomal RNA". It matches the Rfam family "Bacterial small subunit ribosomal RNA", at positions 29 to 507 of the family's 1533-position model. The record is from RNAcentral.